Molecule: long non-coding RNA, 687 nt
Filed under: Equus caballus (horse)
Lineage: Eukaryota; Metazoa; Chordata; Mammalia; Perissodactyla; Equidae
Description: lncRNA (ENSECAG00000056276.1)
Source: RNAcentral
AGCUGAGCCAACAUCUCAGGCUAUGACCAAAUGACCAGCAGAUAAGGAGAGAGAUCACCUCUCCAUGGGUCCUGAAAGAAUAUGGCUGCAGGAAGGUCCUAGACCUGAGGCACACAAAGACCCAUUGUCCAUUUAUCUCCUGGGAGAAGACAGAGGACUAGCUCGAGUUAACAACCAAUAAGACAGAAAUAUUGGAGAGAUCUACCAUAUGCUAUGUCAUUUUCCAGCUACUAUGGAAAGUAUGCCAUACCAGCCACAGUGGGGAAUAUAUAAUAUUGACACAAAAGAAACUUAUGGACAUUGUCUAGAAAUCUUUAAAAACAUCUGAGUUUACAUUUUCUCUGUAUUCAAACAUAGAGAAUUGUGAAUUCUCUUCCAACAUGUGUGUGUCUGUAUAUAUAGAGAGAGAGAGAGAAACAGAGGGAGAGGGAGAGAGGGAAAAGGCAUAUAUUCAAGGAUUUUCAGCUGUUUGUCUUUGAAGUCAAUAAAUUUUUAAUGAGUUAAAUUACAACAAUUCCAAAACUAAUGCAUACUCAAAUAUACUUGUCUUUUACUAUAUAAACGUGUGUGUGAGUAUGUGUGUAUCACGGGGGGUGCGUUUAUGUGCAUGUGUUGUGUGCAUACACAUAUAUGUGUAUAUGAAAUAAUGAUGAAUGUGGGGAAUGAAGAAAUAUUAAAUGAGGAGCA